This 490-nucleotide ribosomal RNA is filed under the name uncultured bacterium. Its description in RNAcentral is "partial 16S ribosomal RNA". It matches the Rfam family "Bacterial small subunit ribosomal RNA", at positions 30 to 507 of the family's 1533-position model. The record is from RNAcentral.
AUUGAACGCUGGCGGCAGGCCUAACACAUGCAAGUCGAACGGUAACAGGAAGAAGCUUGCUUCUUUGCUGACGAGUGGCGGACGGGUGAGUAAUGUCUGGGAAACUGCCUGAUGGAGGGGGAUAACUACUGGAAACGGUAGCUAAUACCGCAUAACGUCGCAAGACCAAAGAGGGGGACCUUCGGGCCUCUUGCCAUCGGAUGUGCCCAGAUGGGAUUAGCUAGUAGGUGGGGUAACGGCUCACCUAGGCGACGAUCCCUAGCUGGUCUGAGAGGAUGACCGGCCACACGGGAACUGAGACACGGUCCAGACUCCUACGGGAGGCAGCAGUGGGGAAUAUUGCACAAUGGGCGCAAGCCUGAUGCAGCCAGGCCGCGUGUAUGAAGAAGGCCUUCGGGUUGUAAAGUACUUUCAGCGGGGAGGAAGGGAGUAAAGUUAAUACCUUUGCUCAUUGACGGUACCCGCAGAAGAAGCACCGGCUAACUCCGUG